RNAcentral lists this small RNA (67 nucleotides) under Arabidopsis thaliana (thale cress). RNAcentral describes it as "ATSL018100". Lineage: Eukaryota; Viridiplantae; Streptophyta; Magnoliopsida; Brassicales; Brassicaceae. The record is from RNAcentral.
UCUCAAAAUUUUGUUUAUACUAAAGCAGAAGAAACCAUAUGAAGAGAACGAUCACAAUAAAUACUAG